GUCCGCUUGGGUGGGCCAUUUGGGGCGCGGAAAGCCUCCGAAUAGAGGAAAUCAAGGAAUACUGCAGCAGCUGGCCCAAGUCUCGUAUCUGGGACAGUAUAGCAAUUGAUGGGCCAGUGAGGCUAGGACUUGGGCCAAAAAAAGUGCUUGACGUAUCAUGCUGUGUGGGAUUAGGCCGUUGCCUCAUAAUACUGGGCCAAAUCCGAACAGUUCGAAAUGGAAC
This 223-nucleotide long non-coding RNA is filed under the name Brachypodium distachyon (stiff brome). RNAcentral's name for it is "long non-coding RNA (BDIS_LNC002332)". Lineage: Eukaryota; Viridiplantae; Streptophyta; Magnoliopsida; Poales; Poaceae. The record is from RNAcentral.